CGGAGGAUCCAAGCGUUAUCCGGAAUCAUUGGGUUUAAAGGGUCCGUAGGCGGGUUUAUAAGUCAGUGGUGAAAGCCCAUCGCUCAACGAUGGAACGCCAUUGAUACUGUAGAUCUUGAAUUAUUAGGAAGUAACUAGAAUAUGUAGUGUAGCGGUGAAAUGCUUAGAGAUUACAUGGAAUACCAAUUGCGAAGGCAGGUUACUACUAAUGGAUUGACGCUGAUGGACGAAAGCGUGGGUAGCGAACAGGAUUAGAUACCCUGGUAGUCCACGCCGUAAACGAUGGAUACUAGCUGUUCGGAGCAAUCUGAGUGGCUAAGCGAAAGUGAUAAGUAUCCCACCUGGGGAGUACGUUCGCAAGAAUG
RNAcentral lists this ribosomal RNA (365 nucleotides) under uncultured organism. Its description in RNAcentral is "bacterial SSU rRNA". It matches the Rfam family "Bacterial small subunit ribosomal RNA", at positions 526 to 896 of the family's 1533-position model. The record is from RNAcentral.